This 2279-nucleotide unclassified non-coding RNA is filed under the name Hevea brasiliensis (rubber tree). The record is from RNAcentral. Lineage: Eukaryota; Viridiplantae; Streptophyta; Magnoliopsida; Malpighiales; Euphorbiaceae.
GAGAGAGUGCUGCAUAUGCCAUUACAAGUCAGUCAAAAGUUGUCCAGUGAAAGAUAAAUUACAUGGUAAUACAAAAAAACAAUCGAGAUUCAGCAGGGAUCAUCAAUUCAGCGGUUCCCAUUAUUUCAAUCUAGUAAUACAUGCAGUGGAAUAACUCCAGAAUCUAAACUAAAAGAGAGCCUUCCAUCACAGUACGAGCUUUCCCUCGCAGCAGCACUCUCUGCUUCUGCUCAUCCAAAUGAAUGGUCAAUAUUCCACUUCUCGGUGAUGCCUGACCAAAUAAAACAAAUCUGAGCAAUAUGCAAUUUAGAAAAACUGUUUUCAUGUAGUUGUGCAUGAACAUUUGAGACGGAGAGAGAUGGCAGAAGCAAAGAGGAAAAAGUACCGCAUAAGCCAUAAAAUCACACUUUCCAAGCUUUUUGCCCCAGUAGGGGGCUAAAGCGCAAUGUGCACUUCCACAGACAGGAUCCUGAAAAACAUGACAAAUGUUUGCUGAUUCAAUUUCUUUUACUAGUUUCAGUACCAAAUACCGAUUUGAGCAUUGCUACGCCUAGAUCAACAGGAAUCCAGUGAUGAAGAGUUGCUCAAAGAGUUACCAGAACAGAAACUAGAAGGCAUACAAGGAGCAGUCUUUACGCUAGUUAACCCUUCUUUCUUGAGGAAUUUGAGAUUGAAAUUUUUUUUCUUAACUAUUCCAUUUUGGUGUAUCAUAUUCUAACAGUUUGCGGGACUUGACGCCCAUGAAAAUUUUGUACAAGCUGGAUAGUUAUUGACUUAAUGUGAAGGACUUUAAAUACUUCAUUAAAUUAGCAAUAACAUUUCCAUUGCAAUCGAAGGAAUGUAAAAAAUCAAUUAGCAUUUGUAAGUAGUACACUACUGCAAUAAGCAAGAUCAAAUGCCAACAUAUUUACCUCAUUGAUUCCAAAUUUGGGACAGAAAAAUCGACUAUAAAAGUCAAAUCCAGACCCUGAUGGAGCAACCCCAGAAACAAUUAUCCCCCUUCCAGGGCACUUUAGUAUCUCAUCAAACUGUGGCUGUAAUUCUGUAACAGCUUUAGCAGAUGGCAAGACAACCUACCGAAAAUGUGAAUAUUCAUUUAGGUACAGAAAAACAUAUGCUUUAGAUACAAUGACUACUAUAUUCAGGUCAUGAAACAUAGUAAUGUGAUGGUUCUUGCCAUUCAUGCUCAGUGAAUAUUACUCUCUCCAGAAAAAAGAAAUGAGAUGCAAGAAAUUUAAGAGGAAAAGGAUGGGACAUAUUACAAAGAGGUCAUCUGCACCAGUAGUCCUCUUGAUAUCAAUUAUGGAAGCGCCAUUCAGGGCUUUAGAAAUCGAUGCAAGAUCAAGAGAGUUGAAUUCAGUAGUUGGGACAGUAGGAAAAUCUAAUUCAAUAAGAAAACACUCUUUUGGUUUGCUAUUUUGAUUGCUCAAGUCAUCAGUUCUGCUGAUAUCAGAAAUCCUCUUAGCAGUUAGGAUACCAGAUAGUGUAACAAACUCAAUAACGUUAGAAGUUACCAAUCCAUUAGAAAAGAGAAUGUGUGAAGCAGCUAGCGUUGCAUGACCACAAAGCUUAACCUCAGCAACAGGAGUGAACCACCUAAGAUGGAACCUGGGAUUUGAAUUGACAGUAUCGGGGAGAUUGAUGGGAGUCAAAUAGCAGGUCUCGGAAAUGUUGAACUCGGCAGCCACAGCUUGCAACCACUUGUCAUCUUUCUCUUCCUCUAAGAAACAUACUGCUGCUGGAUUUCCCUUGAAAGCGGAAUCGGUGAAAGCGUCGACCACAAAGUACUUGACGAGUUGUUUCCCCAUUUUACAGAUCCUACCUUAUGAACUGGAAAGAAAGUUGAGAUCUUGAAGAUCCCCUUAAUUACUUAAAAACACCAACUUUUUAUGAUUAUUAGCACUCACGAUUUCUGGGAUGAUUAUGAAUAAUUUAUUCAAAUUUCUACUAUUUUCUUAAAACGAAAUUAUAUAUAAUAUAAAGAAUUGUAUGAGCUUUUUUAAUUAAGUCAACUUUUGAAAUUCAAACUAUCACACAUUCAUAAAAACAAAAACAUCAAAUUCGUCGGUUGAAUAAGAGAAUUAACGACCUAUAAUCAACCUCCCAUUGGUUGAUUGGAAACAUAUUUGUACGUUCAGAUGCUAGCUUCAGCAUGACAGAAGCUAGAGGUCCAUAAACUCCAUGUCAUAACUCAUAAAUAGUACAAAGCGAUUGAAGUGUUACGAUUUCAGUGUUCCGCAUGGAUCAUGAAGAGUUCUAUUUAUAGCCAUAACUUGGAG